AACGCACAUUGCGCCCUUUGGUUAUUCCUUAGGGCAUGCUUGUUCGAGCGUCAUUCCCACCCCUCCAAGCCCUGCUUGGCUGCUGGGCGCUUUGUCCCGCCUCUCGCGCGCGGACUCGCCCCAAAUGCACCGGCGGCCGCCCCUAACGAGCCUGAGCGCAGCAGAAACGCGCCUCUGGGCCGGCAGGGCGCGGCAGGCCCCCGCGAAACGGAAAAUGACCCCCUCGAAGGACCUCGAAUCAAGCAGGAGUACCCGCUGAACUUAA
This 265-nucleotide unclassified non-coding RNA is filed under the name uncultured fungus. RNAcentral describes it as "partial contains 5.8S ribosomal RNA, internal transcribed spacer 2, and large subunit ribosomal RNA". The record is from RNAcentral. Lineage: Eukaryota; Fungi.